AUGGUAACAAGCAUUAUGCAAACAGGCGAAGAAAUGAGGGAGAUCAGAGCUUACCUGUCGGAGACACUCCGGCGGUAUUUUAGAUGCGGUGAAGGCAAUGAGAAAUCCAGAGGACAAUCUUCAAAGCGCAGGGUAUUGUUACAGCAGAGCUACAAAGAGAUUUAUCAAGCUCACGACAGAAUACCAAUGACUGAGGCUCUUCCCGUUUCUUGA
Molecule: non-coding RNA, 213 nt
Organism: Vicia faba (fava bean)
Lineage: Eukaryota; Viridiplantae; Streptophyta; Magnoliopsida; Fabales; Fabaceae
Source: the annotation of a GenBank genome assembly